Caenorhabditis elegans is the source of this 91-nucleotide non-coding RNA. The record is from Ensembl. Lineage: Eukaryota; Metazoa; Nematoda; Chromadorea; Rhabditida; Rhabditidae.
UGGGCAGGAUGGCGUAGUGGUUAGCAUGCGCCAGCGAUAUUGUGAUUGAUUGGGGAUCACUCCCAUCCUUGCCCGAUUUUUUUGUUUUCGA